Molecule: ribosomal RNA, 324 nt
Filed under: uncultured Acidobacteriota bacterium
Lineage: Bacteria; Pseudomonadati; Acidobacteriota
Description: bacterial SSU rRNA
Rfam family: Bacterial small subunit ribosomal RNA
Source: RNAcentral
UGGCUCAGAACGAACGCUGGCGGCGUGCCUAACACAUGCAAGUCGCACGAGAAAGGGUAGCAAUACCUGAGUACAGUGGCGCACGGGUGAGUAACACGUGAAUUAUCUACCUCCGAGUGGGGAAUAACCUAGAGAAAUCUGGGCUAAUACCGCAUAACACUUACGAGUCAAAGCAGCAAUGCGCUUGGAGAGGAGUUCGCGGCCGAUUAGUUAGUUGGCGGGGUAAUGGCCCACCAAGACGAUGAUCGGUAUCCGGCCUGAGAGGGCGCACGGACACACUGGAACUGAAACACGGUCCAGAGUCCUACGGGAGGCAGCAGUGGG